This 253-nucleotide ribosomal RNA is filed under the name uncultured bacterium. Its description in RNAcentral is "partial 16S ribosomal RNA". It matches the Rfam family "Bacterial small subunit ribosomal RNA", at positions 524 to 776 of the family's 1533-position model. The record is from RNAcentral.
UACAGAGGUCCCAAGCGUUGUUCGGAUUCAUUGGGCGUCAAGGGUGCGUAGGUGGCGCCGUAAGUCGGGUGUGAACUUUCGGAGCUUAACUCCGAAACUGCAUUCGAUACUGCGGUGCUUGAGGACUGGAGAGGAGACUGGAAUUCAUGGUGUAGCAGUGAAAUGCGUAGAGAUCAUGAGGAAGACCAGUGGCGAAGGCGGGUCUCUGGACAGUUCCUGACACUCAGGCACGAAAGCGUGGGGAGCAAACAGG